GCGCAGCUGGCCGAGCUUCGGGCCACGGGCGCCGGGGGGUGGCGGGCCGCAAGCUCGGGCCCGGGCAAAGGCUCUCGCAAGAAGAGGAGCCUGCCUUGCGAGGAGAGCUCGAGCCGGCCGGGCGAGAGCCCUGAGGGCAUGGAGCGCGCGGGAGCUGAAGGACAGGCUGGAGCUGGAGCUGCUGCGGCAGGGCGAGGAGCAGUACGAGUGCGUUCUGAAGCGCAAGGAGCAGCACGCGGCCGAGCAAAUCUCCAAAAUGAUGGAGCUGGCCAGAGAGAAACAGGCGGCAGAGCUGAAGGCCCUGAAGGAGACGGCGGAGA
Molecule: long non-coding RNA, 320 nt
Filed under: Macaca fascicularis (crab-eating macaque)
Lineage: Eukaryota; Metazoa; Chordata; Mammalia; Primates; Cercopithecidae
Description: lncRNA (ENSMFAG00000052053.1)
Source: RNAcentral